AUUGAACGCUGGCGGCAGGCCUAACACAUGCAAGUCGAAUGGUAACAGGAAACAGCUUGCUGUUUCGCUGACGAGUGGCGGACGGGUGAGUCAUGUCUGGGAUACUGCCUGAUGGAGGGGGAUAACUACUGGAAACGGUAGCUAAUACCGCAUAACGUCGCAAGACCAAAGAGGGGGACCUUCGGGCCUCUUGCCAUCAGAUGUGCCCAGAUGGGAUUAGCUAGGAGGUGGGGUAACGGCUCACCUAGGCUACGAUCCCUAGCUGAUCUGAGAGGAUGACCGGCCACACGGGAACUGAGACACGGUCAAGACUCCUACGAGAGGCAGCAGUGGGGAAUAUUGCACAAUGGGCGCAAGCCUGAUGCAGCCAUGCCGCGUGUAUGAAGAAGGCCUUCGGGUUGUAAAGUACGUUCAGCGGGGAGGAAGGGAGUAAAGUUAAUACCUUUGCUCAUUGACGUUACCCGCAGAAGAAGCACCGGCUAACUCCGUG
RNAcentral lists this ribosomal RNA (490 nucleotides) under uncultured bacterium. RNAcentral's name for it is "partial 16S ribosomal RNA". It matches the Rfam family "Bacterial small subunit ribosomal RNA", at positions 30 to 507 of the family's 1533-position model. The record is from RNAcentral.